RNAcentral lists this long non-coding RNA (504 nucleotides) under Zosterops lateralis melanops. Its description in RNAcentral is "lncRNA (ENSZLMG00000003353.1)". Lineage: Eukaryota; Metazoa; Chordata; Aves; Passeriformes; Zosteropidae. The record is from RNAcentral.
AAAUGGCUUAAUUUUCUCCUUUUACUGUUUAUUUUCCAUAGGGUGAAGCUGGUCCUCCUGGUCCUGCUGGUGUUAGCGGUAGUCCUGGGGAGAGAGGAGAACCUGGUCCUCAGGGUCAUGCUGGACCACCUGGGCCUCAGGGCCCUCCUGGAAGAGCUGGAAGCCCUGGCAACAAGGGUGAAAUGGGACCCUCUGGUAUUCCUGGUGCUCCUGGUCUGCCAGGAGGUCGUGGUCUUCCAGGUCCUCCAGGUGCAAGUGGAAACCCUGGGGCGAAAGGCAGUCCGGGAGACCCUGGUAAGGAUGGUGCAAAAGGAGAACCAGGCCCAAAAGGCGAGCGUGGUGAAAACGGCACCCCAGGUGCUCCUGGGCCUCCUGGUGAGGAAGGGAAGAGAGGUGCAAAUGGUGAACCCGGGCAGAACGGAGUACCUGGUACCCCUGGAGAAAGGGUGAGUGUGCUACAUGGUCUUUUGAGCUACAACAAAGACAGAAAAUUCUGGAGGAAUU